RNAcentral lists this long non-coding RNA (676 nucleotides) under Sus scrofa (pig). RNAcentral's name for it is "lncRNA (ENSSSCG00070015372.1)". Lineage: Eukaryota; Metazoa; Chordata; Mammalia; Artiodactyla; Suidae. The record is from RNAcentral.
CAUCUCUCAGAAGUGCAGGUCAUCAGCAAUUCGUAGAGCAGCUCUAACCACAAUCAAGCUCGCAAGGACACUCAUGAGAAGUUUUUCUAUUUGAGAAACACAAACAGCUCCAUCGAUCUUACUAACACCCUAGAGUAAUUGUUGGCCCCAGGCUUGGAGCAGGAGCUUGGGUAAUCACGGGAGAUGCGAAGCAGCGAGUGCGACAGUGCCAACGAAGUGCUUAAUCCAUGCAGGCUGGGAGAAGCAGAAGGAGAUGUUGCUCAUCCAGUUCCACCUUGUUCGUUUCAUGUCCCGUGCUGUUGCCCAGCUGGGAUCCUUGAGGACAAACACAUCACUGUGUCCUGGCCCCUCCCCAGGGCUGUGCAUGCACUGGCCAGUGAAGCAAGAGCAGCGCUCCCUGUGACCGAAUGCUACAGCUCUUCAGCGGGGAUAACUGAGGAUCGUAUUGGGGAGAGAAGCAAAGAAGGGCGGGGGAGCGGGAGGCGGUGAAAAAGAGAGGGGGACGCCCUGCGCAUGCGUGCCAGCGCCCAUGCAAAUCUGCUGUACAUCCAGAGAGCAAAGUGGGAUGAUCUGUCACUACACCUGCAGCACCACGUUCGGAGGACAGCUCCUGCUCGCAGCUUCUAGACCCAGGUAAACCCCCCCCAAAACCGAAACAAUCCCCUCCCCCCACAAC